AUCUCUGUAGCUCAGUGGCAGAAAACUGGGCUUAUAAACCAGGGGUCAUGAGUUCAAUCCUCACAGGAAACU
This is a non-coding RNA of Acanthoscelides obtectus, 72 nucleotides long. The record is from the annotation of a GenBank genome assembly. Lineage: Eukaryota; Metazoa; Arthropoda; Insecta; Coleoptera; Chrysomelidae.